RNAcentral lists this ribosomal RNA (301 nucleotides) under uncultured bacterium. Its description in RNAcentral is "partial 16S ribosomal RNA". It matches the Rfam family "Bacterial small subunit ribosomal RNA", at positions 509 to 807 of the family's 1533-position model. The record is from RNAcentral.
CAGCAGCCGCGGUAAUACGUAGGUGGCAAGCGUUAUCCGGAAUCAUUGGGCGUAAAGCGCGCGUAGGCGGUUUGUUAAGUCUGAUGUGAAAGCCCACGGCUCAACCGUGGAGGGUCAUUGGAAACUGGAAAACUUGAGUGCAGAAGAGGAAAGUGGAAUUCCAUGUGUAGCGGUGAAAUGCGCAGAGAUAUGGAGGAACACCAGUGGCGAAGGCGACCUUCUGGUCUGUAACUGACGCUGAUGUGCGAAAGCGUGGGGAUCAAACAGGAUUAGAUACCCCUGUAGUCCCUGUCUCUUAUAC